UACGAAGGGGGCUAGCGUUGUUCGGAAUUACUGGGCGUAAAGCGCACGUAGGCGGACAUUUAAGUUGGAGGUGAAAGCCUUGGGCUCAACCCAAGAAUUGCCUUUGAUACUGGAUGUCUCGAGACCGGGAGAGGUGAGUGGAAUUCCGAGUGUAGAGGUGAAAUUCGUAGAUAUUCGGAAGAACACCAGUGGCGAAGGCGUCUCACUGGACCGGCAUUGACGCUGAGGUGCGAAAGCGUGGGGAGCAAACAGG
This 253-nucleotide ribosomal RNA is filed under the name uncultured bacterium. RNAcentral describes it as "partial 16S ribosomal RNA". It matches the Rfam family "Bacterial small subunit ribosomal RNA", at positions 524 to 776 of the family's 1533-position model. The record is from RNAcentral.